This 443-nucleotide ribosomal RNA is filed under the name uncultured bacterium. Its description in RNAcentral is "partial 16S ribosomal RNA". It matches the Rfam family "Bacterial small subunit ribosomal RNA", at positions 338 to 795 of the family's 1533-position model. The record is from RNAcentral.
CCUACGGGGGGCAGCAGUGGGGAAUAUUGGGCAAUGGGCGCAAGCCUGACCCAGCAACGCCGCGUGAAUGAAGAAGGCUUUCGGGUUGUAAACUUCUUUUAUAGAGGACGAAACAAAUGACGGUACUCAAUGAAUAAGCCACGGCUAACUACGUGCCAGCAGCCGCGGUAAUACGUAGGUGGCAAGCGUUAUCCGGAAUGACUGGGUGUAAAGGGCGUGUAGGCGGGACUGCAAGUCAGAUGCGAAACCCCUGGGCUCAACCCAUGGACUACAUUUGAAACUGUAGGUCUUGAGUGAAGGAGAGGCAAGCGGAAUUCCGUGUGUAGCGGUGAAAUGCGUAGAUAUACGGAGGAACACCAGUGGCGAAGGCGGCCUGCUGGACAGUAACUGACGCUGAGGCGCGAAAGCGUGGGGAGCAAACAGGAUUAGAUACCCUUGUAGUC